Molecule: ribosomal RNA, 979 nt
Filed under: uncultured bacterium
Lineage: Bacteria
Description: bacterial SSU rRNA
Rfam family: Bacterial small subunit ribosomal RNA
Source: RNAcentral
AGAGUUUGAUCAUGGCUCAGAAUCAACGCUGGCGGCAUGCCUAACACAUGCAAGUCGAGCGAGAAAGUGUAGCAAUACAUGAGUAAAGCGGCGCACGGGUGAGUAACACGUGGAUAACCUGCCUCAAAGUGGGGAACAACACCGGGAAACCGGUGCUAAUACCGCAUAUUCUGACUAGGUCUGCGGAUCUGGUCAGGAAAGGAGCAAUUCGCUAUGAGAGGGAUCCGCGGCUGAUUAGCUAGUUGGUGAGGUAAUGGCUCACCAAGGCAACGAUCAGUAGCCGGUCUGAGAGGACGGUCGGCCACACUGGAACUGAGACACGGUCCAGACUCCUACGGGAGGCAGCAGUGGGGAAUUUUUCGCAAUGGGGGCAACCCUGACGAAGCAAUGCCGCGUGGAUGAUGAAGUAUCUCGGUACGUAAAAUCCUUUCGACGGGGACGAAACCGCAAGGUUGACGGUACCCGUAGAAGAAGCCCCGGCUAACUCCGUGCCAGCAGCCGCGGUAAUACGGGGGGGGCAAGCGUUGUUCGGAAUUACUGGGCGUAAAGGGUGCGUAGGCGGUUCUCUAAGUCGGAUGUGAAAACUCUGGGCUCAACCCAGAGCCUGCAUCCGAAACUGGAGGACUAGGGUUCUGGAGGGGAAAGCGGAAUUCCUGGUGUAGCGGUGAAAUGCGUAGAUAUCAGGAGGAACACCGGUGGCGAAGGCGGCUUUCUGGACAGAUACCGACGCUGAGGCACGAAAGCUAGGGGAGCAAACAGGAUUAGAUACCCUGGUAGUCCUAGCCCUAAACCAUGGAUACUUGCUGUGGGGGGGAUUGAAGCCCCUUGUGGCGAAGCUAACGCAUUAAGUAUCCCGCCUGGGGAGUACGGUCGCAAGGCUGAAACUCAAAGGAUUGACGGGGCCCGCACAGCGGUGGAGUAUGUGGUUUAAUUCGACGCAACGCGAAGAACCUUACCUGGGCUCGAACGGCUAGUGACA